This 497-nucleotide ribosomal RNA is filed under the name uncultured bacterium. RNAcentral's name for it is "partial 16S ribosomal RNA". It matches the Rfam family "Bacterial small subunit ribosomal RNA", at positions 29 to 507 of the family's 1533-position model. The record is from RNAcentral.
UAUGCACGCUGGCGGCGUGCCUAAUACAUGCAAGUCGAGCGAACGGACGAGAAGCUUGCUUCUCUGAUGUUAGCGGCGGACGGGUGAGUAACACGUGGAUAACCUACCUAUAAGACUGGGAUAACUUCGGGAAACCGGAGCUAAUACCGGAUAAUAUUUUGAACCGCAUGGUUCAAAAGUGAAAGACGGUCUUGCUGUCACUUAUAGAUGGAUCCGCGCUGCAUUAGCUAGUUGGUAAGGUAACGGCUUACCAAGGCAACGAUGCAUAGCCGACCUGAGAGGGUGAUCGGCCACACUGGAACUGAGACACGGUCCAGACUCCUACGGGAGGCAGCAGUAGGGAAUCUUCCGCAAUGGGCGAAAGCCUGACGGAGCAACGCCGCGUGAGUGAUGAAGGUCUUCGGAUCGUAAAACUCUGUUAUUAUGGAAGAACAUAUGUGUAAGUAACUGUGCACAUCUUGACGGUACCUAAUCAGAAAGCCACGGCUAACUACGUG